AUUCAUAUAGUUUAAUAGUAAAAACACUUUAUUUUCAUUAAAAAAAAGAUAAAUAUUAUCUAUGAAUA
This 68-nucleotide transfer RNA is filed under the name Idiocerus laurifoliae. RNAcentral describes it as "tRNA-Glu". Lineage: Eukaryota; Metazoa; Arthropoda; Insecta; Hemiptera; Cicadellidae. The record is from RNAcentral.